GCCAGUGUGGUGUAGUGGUUUGAGCAUUGGACUGUGACUCUGGAGACCAGGGUUCGAAUCCCGGCUCGACCA
Phrynosoma platyrhinos (Desert horned lizard) is the source of this 72-nucleotide non-coding RNA. Lineage: Eukaryota; Metazoa; Chordata; Lepidosauria; Squamata; Phrynosomatidae. The record is from the annotation of a GenBank genome assembly.